GGUUCAUCUAGAGUGGGAAGAACAUUCACAAAAGAGGUGAUUGAGGUCAUGGCCUCCUUCAAUGAGAAACCUCUCAUUAUGGCUCUCUCCAACCCAACCUCGCAAUCUGAGUGCACAGUUGAAGAAGCUUACACUUGGA
Molecule: non-coding RNA, 139 nt
Organism: Camellia sinensis
Lineage: Eukaryota; Viridiplantae; Streptophyta; Magnoliopsida; Ericales; Theaceae
Source: RefSeq, a predicted model, not a curated record